Molecule: ribosomal RNA, 400 nt
Filed under: uncultured bacterium
Lineage: Bacteria
Description: bacterial SSU rRNA
Rfam family: Bacterial small subunit ribosomal RNA
Source: RNAcentral
AUUGAACGCUGGCGGCAUGCCUUACACAUGCAAGUCGAACGGCAGCACGGGAGCAAUCCUGGUGGCGAGUGGCGAACGGGUGAGUAAUAUAUCGGAACGUGCCCAGUCGUGGGGAUAACGUAGCGAAAGCUACGCUAAUACCGCAUACGAUCUAUGGAUGAAAGCGGGGGAUCGCAAGACCUCGCGCGAUUGGAGCGGCCGAUAUCAGAUUAGGUAGUUGGUGAGGUAAAGGCUCACCAAGCCGACGAUCUGUAGCUGGUCUGAGAGGACGACCAGCCACACUGGGACUGAGACACGGCCCAGACUCCUACGGGAGGCAGCAGUGGGGAAUUUUUGGACAAUGGGCGCAAGCCUGAUCCAGCAAUGCCGCGUGCAGGAUGAAGGCCUCGGUUGUAAACGU